RNAcentral lists this long non-coding RNA (1429 nucleotides) under Anas platyrhynchos platyrhynchos (common mallard). RNAcentral describes it as "lncRNA (ENSAPLG00000031025.1)". Lineage: Eukaryota; Metazoa; Chordata; Aves; Anseriformes; Anatidae. The record is from RNAcentral.
CCCCCCCAGGGCCGCCAUGGCCGAGGGGGCCCGGCACGGCUUCGAGCAGCUGGGGGUGGUGCGCGUGGCCCCCCGGGAUUUGGGGGGUCGCCCCGUCUCCUUGGAGGUCGCCCUGGAGGUCGCGGUGGUGGCCGGAGCUCGCGACGUCUGCGAGGAGGAGGAGGAGGAGGAAGGGGAGGAAGGGGAGGAAGAGGAGGAGGCGGCGCUGAAGUUCAUCUGCGAGCCCUCGUCCCUGUGGGCCGUUCGGGACCACCUGGAGGCUUCGGGGUUGCGCCCGCUCUCGGCCACCAUCGAGUACCUGCCCCGGGACCGCGUGGCGCUACCGGAGGGGCCGCGGGACGAGGCCGAGCGCCUCCUCCAAGCCCUCGGGGACCACCCCGAUGUCGUCAACAUCUACCACAACCUCCAGUAGGAACCCGGUGGGUUUGGGGGGGGACGUGGCCCCAAAAUUUGGGGUCACCUCCCCUCCCCCCGCGGUGCUGGUGACAAUAAAAACCCGUUUUUUGGGUGUUUUUCCGCCCCCGCGUGUAUUAAUUUUGACCGCGGCCCGUGGAGAUGCCCCACCCCAAAAAGAACCCCAAAGUUCGGGCCCCCCCCCAAAAAAAAACAGGGCGGGGGACCCCGGGGUCAGUCGUCGGAUCCCGUGGGGCUGCCGAGGAAGAUGUCGCCGUAGGGGAAGGCUUGGGCGGCGCCUUCCUCUUCCUCCUCCUCUUCAUCAUCCUCAUCGUCCUCAUCGUCCUCAUCGUCCUCCUCAUCCUCCUCCUCCUCCUCGGGGUGGACGAAGGCCCCGGCCUCCCCCUGGAGGUGCCUCCGGACCACGGGGUGGCUGAGGCCGAAAAAUUCCUCCCCGGCCCCGGGGCCGUGCGGAGACCCCCGGGGCCUCCCCCCGGCUUCCUCCAAGGCCUGGAGGAGGCGGGCGUGACAAAAAUCGGGCGUGGCACCCGAAAAAACCCUCCCGGGUUCGUCCUCGGCCACGAUUUCGCACCGGGGCCCGGCCACGAUCCGGCAAGUGUAGAGGCAACGCCGGGCCGGCCUCCGCAAACUGGCGAAGAGCCGGGUGCUCCGGUAGCCCGGGGGCAAGUUGGGGGCCCCCCCGGCCCCGACGACCCCCAAAUUUUGGAUAGUCAAAGGGCCGAGAGUCAACGGCAACGGCGGCGGCGCCGCGGCGCGCCGGGGCCGCGGCCCGGCGAGGUUGGAGGCCUCUUCGUUAGGCCUCAAGAUGGCCGCCGGGGCUGCGGACGCCAUUUUGGGGGCACCGCGGGGGCCGUUGGGCCGGGAGGGGUCUCGGGGGUCAUCGAGGGGGGCGUCGCGGGACCCCGAUGGCCUCAGCCCGUCCCUGGAGGCCGCCGGCCUCGCGUCGUCCCUUGACCCCAAAUCCCUUGACCCCAAAUCCCUUGAUCCUAUUGACCCCAAAUCCCUUGACCCCAUU